AACAAAUAUUUAAUCUCAGUGACUGCAAGCAUCAUCUCGGGGGCACAAGCCUUUCUGCCUCGCUCUGUGAUCUUGGUAAGCCUUAGGCUAAAAAGAUUCCUGCCAAAGAUAGCUAAUCUCAGAAGCAACAUAACAAUGCUUAUACUCCGCAGAGGGAAAGAAAACUGAUCCAUGAAGUUGCUAUUUGCAUAAAACACAGAAGCAUCUGUCAUAGACUCCUUUCUGGUUGAGUCUGGCAUCCAGGGAUCACUCAGCUGGUCUGCCUCAGCACUGGGCUCCCAUGAAGGCAAAGGGUCCCCAGUGAGGACUGCAUCCAGGUGCAAGAAGUCUGAGUCAUAUGGGUGGCGAUGAAAUGUACCCACCUGUGUGAAUAAAUGAAGACGCUUACCUAGAUUCCUUAUUUAAUAGGAUACCAAACGCAGUUUUUAAAAAGGUAUCCUGUAGCAGAAUGUAUCCUUA
Bos taurus (domestic cattle) is the source of this 459-nucleotide long non-coding RNA. NCBI's taxonomy places the organism in Eukaryota, Metazoa, Chordata, Mammalia, Artiodactyla, Bovidae. The record is from Ensembl.